This 465-nucleotide ribosomal RNA is filed under the name Vreelandella stevensii. RNAcentral's name for it is "partial 16S ribosomal RNA". It matches the Rfam family "Bacterial small subunit ribosomal RNA", at positions 338 to 795 of the family's 1533-position model. The record is from RNAcentral. Lineage: Bacteria; Pseudomonadati; Pseudomonadota; Gammaproteobacteria; Oceanospirillales; Halomonadaceae.
CCUACGGGUGGCUGCAGUGGGGAAUAUUGGACAAUGGGCGAAAGCCUGAUCCAGCCAUGCCGCGUGUGUGAAGAAGGCCUUCGGGUUGUAAAGCACUUUCAGUGGGGAAGAAAGCCUUGGGGCUAAUACCCUCGAGGAAGGACAUCACCCACAGAAGAAGCACCGGCUAACUCCGUGCCAGCAGCCGCGGUAAUACGGAGGGUGCGAGCGUUAAUCGGAAUUACUGGGCGUAAAGCGCGCGUAGGCGGUCUGAUAAGCCGGUUGUGAAAGCCCGGGGCUCAACCUGGGAACGGCAUCCGGAACUGUCAGGCUAGAGUGCAGGAGAGGAAGGUAGAAUUCCCGGUGUAGCGGUGAAAUGCGUAGAGAUCGGGAGGAAUACCAGUGGCGAAGGCGGCCUUCUGGACUGACACUGACGCUGAGGUGCGAAAGCGUGGGUAGCAAACAGGAUUAGAUACCCGUGUAGUC